CUAUUCUGUUAUUCCUCAGAGGCCAGCUAAAUGCUACAGGCCUUACAGCUUCGUACUGGCUUCUUCUGUUUUAGGGAGCUGGUGGCACUUUCUCCCUGUGCUUUGCAUGACUCUGGCAGACUUACCACAGGAUCAUUCAACGUUGUCAGGGAUGAAGAGGAAGAAAUCAAACUGGAGAUAAAUAUGCUAAAGAAAUACUCUCAUCACAGAAACAUUGCAACAUAUUAUGGUGCUUUCAUCAAAAAGAGCCCUCCAGGACAUGAUGACCAACUCUGGCUUGUUAUGGAGUUCUGUGGGGCUGGGUCCAUUACAGACCUUGUGAAGAACACCAAAGGGAACACACUCAAAGAAGACUGGAUCGCUUACAUCUCCAGAGAAAUCCUGAGGGGACUGGCACAUCUUCACAUUCAUCAUGUGAUUCACCGGGAUAUCAAGGGCCAGAAUGUGUUGCUGACUGAGAAUGCAGAGGUGAAACUUGUUGACUUUGGUGUGAGUGCUCAGCUGGACAGGACUGUGGGGCGGAGAAAUACGUUCAUAGGCACUCCCUACUGGAUGGCUCCUGAGGUCAUCGCCU
RNAcentral lists this small RNA (574 nucleotides) under Pan troglodytes (chimpanzee). RNAcentral's name for it is "processed transcript". Lineage: Eukaryota; Metazoa; Chordata; Mammalia; Primates; Hominidae. The record is from RNAcentral.